Long non-coding RNA from Equus caballus (horse), 2285 nucleotides. Lineage: Eukaryota; Metazoa; Chordata; Mammalia; Perissodactyla; Equidae. The record is from Ensembl.
AAUGAUGUGGUCUCCUGGAUUGGAUGCUAGAAUGGAAAAAGACAUUAGUGAAAUCCAAACAAAGGAUAUAAUUUAGUUAAUAGUGUGUACCAAUGUUAACCUCAGUUUUAUAACUGUACCCUAGUUACGUAAGAUGUGAACAUGAGGGCCGCUGGGUGAAGGGUGCAGGGAACUCUUCCAUCCGUACAACUCUUCUGUAAAUCUAAAAUGAUUGCAAAACAAACAAGCGCUACAUAUCUUGGAUAAUUGUUCUGGUUAUAUUUUAAUUCUUGCUCAAUCAAAAAAUCUGUCAAGUCUUUUGUGUUUUUGAGUGUUGUGCUUUAAAGCAUUGGGGGUGAGGGUUUGCCAGAUCUGGUGCUUCUGAGGUUUCUGGGUAAGAACAAAGGUCUGGCUAGAACCUCGGAAUCUUCCCCUCCAGCUGGAGCCCGGAACUCAGCAUCCCAGGGAGGGGCCUCGCUGGAGCCAUGCCCUCUCCUGCAGGGUUGCUGGCUUCUGGCGAUGAAAAGAUGCUCAACAAAGCUCGAGGGAACUUUUCCCUCCAGGUUCACAGGGGACAUUUCUCAGGUGUAAGAGCUGUCCACGAAGCUCGCUGGUUGCUCCAGAAUGGGUGGGUAGGAGAGAAAAGGCCCUUCCCACAAGGGUGGAGGAAUCCCAGAGCCGCUGAGCUGGGAGAUCUCAGUGCUCACGGGUCUGAUGCGCACAUUGCAGAGUCUGGGAGAACAAAGGCCAGAGAGACGGGGAGGCCGGGCCACGCCUGCCCCGAGCGAGGGUAGGGCAGUGCUGGCCUUUGAGUCCAGGUCUCUUGAUCUGCAAUUCUAGGGCCCUUCUCAUUAUUUCAUCUUUGUCCCUGAACUUGACAAGUAGGUGUCUGUGUAAGGGGAACUUGUCUCUGGGCUUCAGAGAGCCCAGAGCUUAAUUCCUGGCUCCUUGUGACUCCCUCUGCCUCUGUGGAGGAAAAUGUCUCCUUUUCCAUUACUUACAAGAGGUGGGCUCUGUGAGAGGCCUCCAAUCUGCCAGCUGCCGACACUUCGCAGAAUGAAAUCAUCCUGCUGAAUUGAUAAAUUCCGGAACUACUUCCAUCUGAGGCCUGGCCGGUCCCCACCUGGUGCACUUGACUGAGGAGGGUUCUGCUCCAGUUCACCUCUCUCAGCUGACGUGGGUGUUCAGCUGAGACGAAUGGGCUAUAUUGCCAUGAAAUUUCCCCAGAAUUUGUGCCAUGCCGCCCCCCAGCCUGCCAGACCACACAGGGGCCUCAGGAUCUGCCUGAACAUCUCAUCGAGGCUCGGUCUGCCUAGAAGACACUUUGGGAAAAAGCGAUUGCUUCUAAAAUCGUUCGCAGUAAAGUGCCUCUGAUUUAUUUUGCUUGAGGAAAGAAAGAAAUGAUCCUGGCCUAUGGCUUUGAGCAGGAAGGUGAUGGGGAGACGGGAGCAGUGGUUCUCAGCAGGCUAUGCAGUAGAAUCACCUGGUGACCCCAUUCCGAUUUAAUCGAUUUGAGGGCCCAGGCAUGGGUAUUUUUCACAGUGCCUUAAAUAGCUUUCCUAAACAGCUCGGGCUGAGAACAGGAUCGGAGGGAAAGGGGGAAAGAGCCUUGAAGUCAGCGGAUGGGAUUCCUUAUGUUUGCUAAGUCAAGAAACUUUCUAGAGAGGGGAAGGACUUGCCCGAGGUUCUGUAUAUUGUUGGCAAAUAAAAUUCAAGUUUCAGCUGAGCAAAAAUCUGUGCGUCACCUAGUCUGUGCUGGGUGAGCAGGAAACCAGGAUGUGAGGGGUGGUUUCUCCCAGCCACUCACCCAGCUGUCACAGGAAGCAGAAGAGGGGAAGGGCCAAUCCCAACAGAGAAGUUUGGGGAGGCGGCGCCCAGCUCCCACCAUGGUCCCCUCCACCAUCUCCUCCCGCAUAACGCUGCAAACCUGAAGGUUGAGUGGCGGUCUCCUUUGAACAGCCUCUCCUUUGAGAGCGAGGAUGUGAGAAGCCGGUCCAGGUGUCGGUCAGUGGAGUGACAUCCUUGAGCUGCAAUUUCGGGAAGUCAUCUGGUCAUCUGUGCAAGGUAGCUUCACCUGAAACCCAAGUCUUGAUCAUCAUUUCGUCUUGGACAAAGCUCUCUCCUCAGACUUUAGGUUCCUUCCCCACUUGUCUGCGAAUCCAGUGACCUUCCCCAGGCCUCGUGCUGCUGGGAGAGGAGCGUGUUGCAGACCUAACAGCCCCAGGAUGUCUUCUCUCCUCAAGAUCUCCUUCCUCUGCCCUGGGGCUCAGGCAGGAAGAUCUGGAAGGUUCAAAUGUGAACUGAGG